AAGUCUGGUGCCAGCAGCCGCGGUAAUUCCAGCUCCAAUAGCGUAUAUUAAAAUUGUUGCGUCUAAAAAGCUCGUAGUUUGAAAACUUGCCUUGGCUUACAUUAGGGCUUCAUUAAGUCCGCCGUUUGUUGGGUGCAAAUAUCGAUGACUGUUUUUGCCAACUUCAUUGUUAGGCUUAUAAGAGUUAUCAAAUAUCACUUUGAUUAAAUUAGAGUGCUUAAAGCAAGUGUGUAACUUGAAUAUAAAUGCAUGGAAUGAUGGAAUAUGUUGUUGUUCUAUUUGUUGGUUUUUGAACGAUGAAAUGAUUGAAAGGAACUGUUGGGGGCAUUCGUAUUGUUGUGAGAGAGGUGAAAUUCUUAGACCACAGCAAGACGAACUACUGCGAAAGCAUUUGCCAAGAAUGUUUUCAUUGAUCAAGAACGAAAGUUAGAGGUUCGAAGGCGAUCAGAUACCGCCCUAGUUCUAACCAUAA
Molecule: ribosomal RNA, 472 nt
Filed under: Melicharidae gen. n. sp. NFS-2015
Lineage: Eukaryota; Metazoa; Arthropoda; Arachnida; Mesostigmata; Melicharidae
Description: SSU rRNA
Rfam family: Eukaryotic small subunit ribosomal RNA
Source: RNAcentral